GACGAACGCUGGCGGCGUGCUUAACACAUGCAAGUCGAACGGUAAGGCCCUUCGGGGUACACGAGUGGCGAACGGGUGAGUAACACGUGGGUGAUCUGCCCUGCACUUCGGGAUAAGCCUGGGAAACUGGGUCUAAUACCGGAUAGGACCACUGCCUGCAUGGGUGGUGGUGGAAAGCUUUUGCGGUGUGGGAUGGGCCCGCGGCCUAUCAGCUUGUUGGUGGGGUGAUGGCCUACCAAGGCGACGACGGGUAGCCGGCCUGAGAGGGUGACCGGGCACACUGGGGCUGAGAUACGGCCCAGACUCCUACGGGAGGCAGCAGUGGGGAAUAUUGCACAAUGGGCGCAAGCCUGAUGCAGCGACGCCGCGUGAGGGAUGACGGCCUUCGGGUUGUAAACCUCUUUCAGCACCGACGAAGCGCAAGUGACGGUAGGUGCAGAAGAAGGACCGGCCAACUACGUGCCAGCCGCCGCAGUAA
Molecule: ribosomal RNA, 478 nt
Filed under: uncultured bacterium
Lineage: Bacteria
Description: partial 16S ribosomal RNA
Rfam family: Bacterial small subunit ribosomal RNA
Source: RNAcentral